AACGAACGCUGGCGGCGGGCCUCAUACAUGCAAGUCGAGCGCGAAAGUCCGCAAGGAUGAGUAAAGCGGCGCACGGGUGAGAAACGCGUGGGUAAUCUACCCUUUGGAUUGGAAUAACCUGUCGAAAGACGGGCUAAUGCCAAGUAAGCAGUCGAAAGCGUAAAGCUCUUGCCUGGAAAGAUGGCGCAAGCUAUCGCCGAAGGAUGAGCCUGCGUCCCAUUAGCAGUUGGUGGGGUAAAAGCUUACCAAGGCUAUGAUGGGUAGCUGGUCUGAGAGGAUGAUCAGCCACACUGGAACUGAAACACGGUCCAGACUCCUACGGGAGGCAGCAGUAGGGAAUAUUGCGCAAUGGACGAAAGUCUGACGCAGCCACGCCGCGUGAGUGAGGAA
RNAcentral lists this ribosomal RNA (390 nucleotides) under uncultured bacterium. Its description in RNAcentral is "bacterial SSU rRNA". It matches the Rfam family "Bacterial small subunit ribosomal RNA", at positions 29 to 412 of the family's 1533-position model. The record is from RNAcentral.